Molecule: ribosomal RNA, 503 nt
Filed under: uncultured bacterium
Lineage: Bacteria
Description: partial 16S ribosomal RNA
Rfam family: Bacterial small subunit ribosomal RNA
Source: RNAcentral
AUUGAACGCUGGCGGCAGGCCUAACACAUGCAAGUCGAACGGUAGCACAGAGAGCUUGCUCUCGGGUGACGAGUGGCGGACGGGUGAGUAACGUCUGGGAAACUGCCCGAUGGAGGGGGAUAACUACUGGAAACGGUAGCUAAUACCGCAUAACGUCGCAAGACCAAGUGGGGGACCUUCGGGCCUCACACCAUCGGAUGUGCCCAGAUGGGAUUAGCUAGUAGGUGGGGUAAUGGCUCACCUAGGCGACGAUCCCUAGCUGGUCUGAGAGGGUGACCAGCCACACUGGAACUGAGGCACGGUCCAGACUCCUACGGGAGGCAGCAGUGGGGAAUAUUGCACAAUGGGCGCAAGCCUGAUGCAGCCAUGCCGCGUGUAUGAAGAAGGCCUUCGGGUUGUAAAGUACUUUCAGCGGGGAGGAAGGCGGUGAAGUUAAUAGCUUCACCGAUUGACGUUACCCGCAGAAGAAGCACCGGCUAACUCCGUGCCAGCAGCCGCAGUAA